ACGGCAAAAGCUCAAAUUUGAAAUCUGGCGCCUUCGGUGUCCGAGUUGUAAUUUGAAGAUUGUAACCUUGGGGUUGGCUCUUGUCUAUGUUUCUUGGAACAGGACGUCACAGAGGGUGAGAAUCCCGUGCGAUGAGAUGCCCAAUUCUAUGUAAGGUGCUUUCGAAGAGUCRAGUUGUUUGGGAAUGCAGCUCUAAGUGGGUGGUAAAUUCCAUCUAAAGCUAAAUAUUGGCGAGAGACCGAUAGCGAACAAGUACAGUGAUGGAAAGAUGAAAAGAACUUUGAAAAGAGAGUGAAAAAGUACGUGAAAUUGUUGAAAGGGAAGGGUUUGAGAUCAGACUCGAUAUUUUGUGAGCCUUGCCUUCGUGGCGGGGUGACCCGCAGCUUAUCGGGCCAGCAUCGGUUUGGGCGGUAGGAUAAUGGCGUAGGAAUGUGACUUUACUUCGGUGAAGUGUUAUAGCCUGCGUUGAUGCUGCCUGCCUAGMCCGAGGACUGGCGAUUUUAUCAAGGAUGCUGGCAUAAUGAUCCCAAACCGCCCGU
Molecule: ribosomal RNA, 539 nt
Filed under: Meyerozyma guilliermondii
Lineage: Eukaryota; Fungi; Ascomycota; Pichiomycetes; Serinales; Debaryomycetaceae
Description: eukaryotic LSU rRNA
Rfam family: Eukaryotic large subunit ribosomal RNA
Source: RNAcentral